Long non-coding RNA from Gallus gallus (chicken), 2206 nucleotides. The record is from Ensembl. NCBI's taxonomy places the organism in Eukaryota, Metazoa, Chordata, Aves, Galliformes, Phasianidae.
CAGCAUGCUAAAUUAUAGAUGAGAAAGGCAGAAUAUAUAGACAGUCUGUCUCACAAAAAGCCAGAACCAAAUAAAAGGCACGCUCCAGCCAAAGGACAAGCUGAUAACAGAAAAUCUGGUUUACUUCUGAGCUGGCCUGAAACAAAGGGCUGAACUCACAGCUAAGGAAGAACGAUGAAAGAGACCAAGCCCAGAAAGCAUGGAAGGAAUGUGCAUCUUCAGGCUCCCCCUGUGAGCUGCUCCAAGGAGCUUUACCUUCCACGUGAACGACCUGCUGGCCUCCCUGCUCCCAUCCAAAAUGUAUCCUCCAGAUUAUAAUCCCUUCAAGAGCCAUCGGUACCCGAAGACCAAAGGGAAAUUACAACUUUGUGGAGCUUGAGAGCAUGGAGAUCCCUAAAGACAGAACUUCAGAACUCAACCAAAUCUUCUUCAAGGCAAUACAAGCACUGUGCUGAGGAGCUAUCAGACAGCUAAACCGUAAGAUGACAGCUCCAUUCCAGUUGUUAUACUUCAGACUCAGCUCUUGAGGAAUAUACAAAGAUAAAGAUGCCACAGAUGCUGCUUAAUAACGGCGCAGUAGGAUCGAGCAGAGAGAAAAGAUGAACAAUAUUAUGGAAAUGAAACGAUGAUACUUUAUACUUCAAAAGAAUGGAAUACAAAGCUGACAUUUCACUGCUGGACUUGAGGAAUUAGUCAUCGUUACUUAAUAGCAAUUGGAAUAGCCUAGCAAAGGAUGUAUCACAUGAAAAAACAUCCCAAUCUUGGCUGAAUUUUAACUGUAUCAAUUAAAGUUGCACGACAGAUAGAAAAGCUUAUUUCAGAUAAAAAUCUCUUUCUUCUGCACAUGUAUGAAAGAAGUGUGAGGACACAGUCUAUCCUUCAUUGAUCAGGGAAAUGAAGGAGCCAAUAGCCCAGAAAGACAUGCAGAGUUGAAAGCGUAGACCACCUCACUCUGCAGACCAGAUUUUGCAUUGGAAAAGACUUCUUUUGUUUCUGGCUUUCACUUUGCUCCUUGCCAUCCACCUUCCUGUCAACCUAUGGGUUACAUCAUUCAUUCAAAGCAACUCAAGUCCAGGUUGUCUUGGGACUGCUUGGUCCCAACAGCCACUGACCCGGUGACUUUACUUCCAGAAGCUGCCCACUGUUUCCCAGAAGUGACGUUCCUUGACUGGAGCCAAUGACCUGGAUCUGUCCCCUCUCCUGGAGCCAGUCCCAGCAGCAGAGAUGUGCCAGGAGCAUCCCUGCCAGCAUGACCAGUCUGCUUGUCCUGUGCACAAUGAGGAAAGAGCUCUCUUCUAGCACGUGUGGUCCUGAGCUACUGAGCCACAAGGACAGACCAACAUCUGAAUCAACAGAGGCAAAGCCAUACAGAAGAAAAGCUAAUGUGCUCCUACCUUUUCUCAGCUGUAUUAUUUACUUGACUCCAAUGAUUCCAUCAUAUUGAAAAAUCAAUGGCGUUUUAGAAGUGUAAAACCAAGGAAAAGCUGUAUGGAUUCUGACUAUUUUGAACUACUUCUCUGAAAGGGUGGUCAGGCACUGGAAUGGGCUGCCCAGAGAGGUGGUGGAGUCACCGAGCCUGGUGGUGUUCAAAGAGCGUUUGGAUGUUGUGUUGAGGGACAUGGUUUAGUGAGAACCAUUGGUGAAGGGCGAGUGGUUGGACUGGAUGAUCCUGUGGGGCUUUUCCAACCUCAGCGAUUCUGUGAUUCUAUGAAGCUUUACAGAUGCUUGCUGACCUAACAUGGGAGGAGUAUCAUUAUUUUAUUGACGAAACUCUUUUUUUUUUGUUGUUGUUUUAAUAUGGAAAAUCUCAGUGGCACUUCACUCCAUUUGUCUUUUUUUUUUUUUUUUUCCUUUUUAGUCAUAUGAUAAUGUACACUUAUAACCAGUGAAUCAUCCCCCCAAAAAGUCAUAAAGAGAAAAAUAGCUCAUAUGUAUGCCUCAGCGGCCAAUGAAUCAUUGACGACAGGUAUAAUGGGAAUAAUUACAUACUGUUGAGAAACUUUACUCAAAGCCCAGCUCAGAAGGCUAGUUUCAAAACUUCUGAGUUAUGCAGUUGGAUCCAAGGUUGAGAGUGCCAGGUUAGGAAACAGCCAGGAGAAUUUCAGAUUUGUGUUACUGCAAGGAAAUAUCCUCUCCAAGAGUCUGUUAUGUGUUGACAAAUUGUUUAUACUUAAUGAAGCAAUAAUAAUGAAUAGUCUAAAUAGGC